ACAUCUCAAAAGGCUCUGAAGAAAUUAAGUAUGAACUUGUGUGCAGAAAGGAUUAACUUAUAAAUAAUAACUAAUGGAUACAGUUAUCUUCUUUAUCUGUAUUUCUUUUCAUACAAUGGUUCACGGCUUGAACUAGGAAGAGCUGCAAAGUCAUUGGACAAAGUCAGGUGAGCGCCGAUUUUUCAAAUUCACUCUCAGCACUGUAAUUGGCUAAUAGCCUUGUCGCUGAGAAAUGGUGAGUUCUGAUUGGUUGAUUCGAUCAGAAGGCGGGUCAUCAACAGUUGCUCUGAUUCCGACCGACAGGCAGCAGCAGCUCAACAUACUCGUAAUGUUUCUGGAAAAUAGUAUCCGCCAGCUUUAUCGAAGAAACAAGAAGAUGAGGGAAAAAAGAGACCACAUGCAUCAUCUGUGCACACCCAGCACCCAGGAAUGUCUGAUUUCUCUGUUCUGCACCAGCCUUAUGCAUGCCCCUCUGAACUCAAGAAAAGAUCCUGGCUUCUGCAUCCAGCCCCAUUUGGUCCACAACUCUACCCCAGGCCUGCUCUCUCCCUCAGCCAAGUGGAGUCCCUACAAAACGUGGUGCACAACUGGAGACAGGACAAAGAUUUCACCUGAUGCCACGUGACGACGAGCUCAAGCACACGCAUUUUAAAACAGAAGAAAGGAAAAAUGGACAUCAAGCAGACGUGACCGCAGAUCAUCUUUACAGUUUACAAUAUGAAGAUUUACCAAGAUGAACACAAAACAUCCAGAACAGAAGGUUAACAAAUCAACUUUCCUGGACGAAUGGACAGUUACUUUUGGGCAAUGCUGGAAAAGUCCUGAAGGAAAAAACUUUGGAAGAGAAGAGUGAGUACUUCUCUGCAAGGCUAACAUCACCUGUUAGACUGCUACCCUGCCUGUGGGUAGGAUCGACAGCAGUGGUCUCCAACCUGAAUUCCUUGGUGAGCUACUUUUAUUUAACAAAAAUGAUAGAGCUAAUCUACAUAUCGAUGCCCUAUGUGACUUUGGUGGGGUAUUGAGGAUAUUUAAAAAACAAUUAAAGAAAAAUAACUUGAGUUUACUCAAUGCUUAUGCUUCACUGUAUUUAGUUAAUUGUUAGCAGAAAGUGUCUACACGCACACACACUUUGUCAGAGAUGGUACUUUUUUAUUUUAAGUCUAAUUAUUCUACUCUGUUGUAACCUCAUUAACUUAACACUUAAGUGUCAGACAGAGCUGAUGUGAAAGUUCAACCCCAAAUUAAGGUCUUGUUGCACAGUUCAAUAUGAAAUGCACCAUUUGAAUGUUUUAUUGCAUUGACGACUGUCUGUAGCCCUCUUGUUCACACUUCAAUGUGGCUUCAGUGAAAAAGUUUUAUUUAUUUCUGCAAUAUUUGUUGUCUUGCAUGUAUUAAAUAAAUGCAUCAUUUGCAAAUAAAGUAAGAUUUAAUAUUUUUUUCUCUAUCAUAGCCUGUGUAGACCUAGUUCUGGUAAAGUAAUAGCUAAUGCAAGUUAGUGUAUUUUUAUAAACUAAAAAUGAGACUAAAAGUAUACUGCUAGUAAACUAAGAGUAUAAAAGAAGGUUACUUUAAAG
Long non-coding RNA from Neogobius melanostomus (round goby), 1574 nucleotides. Lineage: Eukaryota; Metazoa; Chordata; Actinopteri; Gobiiformes; Gobiidae. The record is from Ensembl.